Molecule: ribosomal RNA, 252 nt
Filed under: uncultured bacterium
Lineage: Bacteria
Description: partial 16S ribosomal RNA
Rfam family: Bacterial small subunit ribosomal RNA
Source: RNAcentral
ACGGAGGGUCCAAGCGUUAUCCGGAUUUAUUGGGUUUAAAGGGUGCGCAGGCGGGGAUGUAAGUCAGUGGUGAAAUACUGCCGCUCAACGGUAGCACUGCCAUUGAUACUGCAUCUCUUGAGUAUGGUUGAGGUAGGCGGAAUGUGUCGUGUAGCGGUGAAAUGCAUAGAUAUGACACAGAACGCCAAUUGCGAAGGCAGCUUACUAAGCCAUUACUGACGCUGAGGCACGAAAGCGUGGGGAGCGAACAGG